GACGAACGCUGGCGGCGUGCUUAACACAUGCAAGUCGAACGGUGAAGCGCCUUCCUUUUUGGUGGGUGUGGAUGAGUGGCGAACGGGUGAGUAACACGUGAGUAACCUGCCCCCUUCUUCUGGAUAACCGCAUGAAAGUGUGGCUAAUACGGGAUAUUCUGAGUCUGUCGCAUGAUGGGUCUGGGAAAGAUAUUGUUUCGGUGGGGGAUGGGCUCGCGGCCUAUCAGCUUGUUGGUGGGGUGAUGGCCUACCAAGGCGGUGACGGGUAGCCGGCCUGAGAGGGUGGACGGUCACACUGGGACUGAGACACGGCCAAGACUCCUACGGGAGGCAGCAGUGGGGAAUAUUGCACAAUGGGCGCAAGACUGAUGCAGCGACGCCGCGUGAGGGAUGGAGGCCUUCGGGUUGUGAACCUCUUUCGCCAGUGAAGCAGGCCUGCCUCGUUUGUGGGUGGGUUGACGGUAGCUGGAUAAGAAGCGCCGGCUAACUACGUG
This 494-nucleotide ribosomal RNA is filed under the name uncultured bacterium. RNAcentral's name for it is "partial 16S ribosomal RNA". It matches the Rfam family "Bacterial small subunit ribosomal RNA", at positions 28 to 507 of the family's 1533-position model. The record is from RNAcentral.